Molecule: transfer RNA, 85 nt
Filed under: Acinetobacter baumannii
Lineage: Bacteria; Pseudomonadati; Pseudomonadota; Gammaproteobacteria; Moraxellales; Moraxellaceae
Also listed under: 1 other name
Description: tRNA-Leu
Rfam family: tRNA
About the family: Transfer RNA (tRNA) molecules are approximately 80 nucleotides in length. Their secondary structure includes four short double-helical elements and three loops (D, anti-codon, and T loops). Further hydrogen bonds mediate the characteristic L-shaped molecular structure. tRNAs have two regions of fundamental functional importance: the anti-codon, which is responsible for specific mRNA codon recognition, and the 3' end, to which the tRNAs corresponding amino acid is attached (by aminoacyl-tRNA synthetases). tRNAs cope with the degeneracy of the genetic code in two manners: having more than one tRNA (with a specific anti-codon) for a particular amino acid; and 'wobble' base-pairing, i.e. permitting non-standard base-pairing at the 3rd anti-codon position.
Source: RNAcentral
GGGGGCGUGGCGAAAUUGGUAGACGCACUGGAUUUAGGUUCCAGCGCCGCAAGGUGUAAGAGUUCGAGUCUCUUCGCCCUCACCA